AUUUUUUUUUAUGUUCCGGUGAAAGGAAGGUUGCCUAGCAACGGUUUUAAUAAAUAGCCAAAUUAUCACAUAUGCAUUGCUUUCUCAUUACACAUUAGCAUAAUUCAAAAUAGUAUUGUUUGUUUAACAAUAACUUGAGUUUGCAAAUGAAAAGUCACUUCAAUUUCAGUUUUUAAAAAUGCUUAGCAACAACCUAGCAACACAAAUUUUGCCUAGCAACGGUUCAAAAAUUUGUAAUUUCGGCC
RNAcentral lists this long non-coding RNA (245 nucleotides) under Mytilus galloprovincialis (Mediterranean mussel). Lineage: Eukaryota; Metazoa; Mollusca; Bivalvia; Mytilida; Mytilidae. The record is from RNAcentral.